Molecule: ribosomal RNA, 446 nt
Filed under: uncultured bacterium
Lineage: Bacteria
Description: partial 16S ribosomal RNA
Rfam family: Bacterial small subunit ribosomal RNA
Source: RNAcentral
CCUACGGGUGGCAGCAGUCGAGAAUCAUUCACAAUGGGGGAAACCCUGAUGGUGCGACGCCGCGUGGGGGAAUGAAGGUCUUCGGAUUGUAAACCCCUGUCAUGUGGGAGCAAAUUAAAAAGAUAGUACCACAAGAGGAAGAGACGGCUAACUCUGUGCCAGCAGCCGCGGUAAUACAGAGGUCUCAAGCGUUGUUCGGAAUCACUGGGCGUAAAGCGUGCGUAGGCUGUUUCGUAAGUCGGGUGUGAAAGGCGCGGGCUCAACCCGAGGACGGCACAUGAUACUGGGAGACUAGAGUAAAGGAGGGGGAACCGGAAUUCUCGGUGUAGCAGUGAAAUGCGUAGAUAUCGAGAAGAACACUCGUGGCGAAGGCGGGUUCCUGGACAUUAACUGACGCUGAGGCACGAAGGCCAGGGGAUCAAACAGGAUUAGAUACCCCGGUAGUC